CUAAGGCGAGGCCGCAAGGCGUAGUCGAUGCACAUACGGUAGAAAUUCCGUAGCCGGCUCAAUCGUUAAGCAUACUGACACAUGAGAGUAGCUCUACCGGGCGUUGGUUGCCCCGGGCGUAAGCGAGCCGAAUGAGGCGAAGUGAGUAAAUCUUGUGGCGAGAAAAGGUGUGUGUAUUGGUUGGGCUGCCCGUACCGCAAACCGACACAGGUAGAUGAGGAGAAGAUCCUAAGGCCAUCGGGAGAAGGGUUGUUAAGGAACUAGGCAAAUUGACCCCGUAACUUCGGGAGAAGGGGUGCCUACGAGAGUAGGCCGCAGAGAAUCGGCCCAAGCAACUGUUUACCAAAAACACAGGUCUCUGCUAAAUCGAAAGAUGACGUAUAGGGGCUGACGCCUGCCCGGUGCUGGAAGGUUAAGAGGAGGACUUAGUGGCAACACGAAGGCCCGAAUUGAAGCCCCAGUAAACGGCGGCCGUAACUAUAACGGUCCUAAGGUAGCGAAUUCCUUGUCGGGUAAGUUCCGACCUGCACGAAUGGCGUAACGAUCUCCACACUGUCUCGGCCAGAGACUCGGUGAAAUUGAAGUCGCGGUGAAAAUGCCGUGUACCCGCAGAAAGACGGAAAGACCCUGUGCACCUUUACUAUAGCUUGACAUUGGGAUUUGAGCCUGCAUGUGUAGCAUAGGUGGGAGCCUGAGAACCCUGUACGCCAGUAUGGGGGGAGGCAACGUUGAAAUACCACCCUUGUUUGUUCAGGUCCCUAACUCCUUGCCGUUAUCCGGUAGGAGGACAGUGUCUGGUGGGUAGUUUGACUGGGGCGGUCGCCCUCAGGCUGAUUGGAAACCAGCCGUCGAGUGCAAACGCAGAAGGGAGCUUGACUGCAAGAGAGACAUCUCGAGCAGGUACGAAAGUAGGUGUUAGUGAUCCGGUGAUCCCGAAUGGAAGGGUCAUCGCUCAUUGGAUAAAAGGUACGCCGGGGAUAACAGGCUGAUCGCAUCCAAGAGUUCACAUCGACGAUGCGGUUUGGCACCUCGAUGUCGGCUCAUCACAUCCUGGGGCUGAAGCAGGUCCCAAGGGUACGGCUGUUCGCCGUUUAAAGUGGUACGCGAGCUGGGUUUAAAACGUCGUGAGACAGUUUGGUCCCUAUCUUCUGUGGGCGUAGGAGAAUUGAAAGGGCCUGUCCCUAGUACGAGAGGACCGGGAUGGACACACCACUGGUGGACCUGUUGUCGUGCCAACGGCACAGCAGGGUAGCUAUGUGUGGAAGGGAUAACCGCUGAAAGCAUCUAAGCGGGAAGCCUGCCUUAAGAUAAGUUCUCCCUGACGCAAGUCCUGAAGGGCCGAGGUAGACGACCUCGUCGAUAGGCUGGAGGUGGAAGCCCUGUGAGGGGUGGAGCUGACCAGUACUAAUAGCCCGUGCGUCUUGUUUCU
This 1429-nucleotide ribosomal RNA is filed under the name human gut metagenome. Its description in RNAcentral is "bacterial LSU rRNA". It matches the Rfam family "Bacterial large subunit ribosomal RNA", at positions 1391 to 2925 of the family's 2925-position model. The record is from RNAcentral.